AUGGUCACAUCAUAUUGAAACACCGGUACCCCUACGAUCACCGAAGUUAAGCAACGUCGAGCCUGGUUAGUAACUUUAUGGGUGACCGCUUAGGAAUACCAGAUGCUGUAAG
Non-coding RNA from Acanthosepion pharaonis, 112 nucleotides. The record is from the annotation of a GenBank genome assembly. NCBI's taxonomy places the organism in Eukaryota, Metazoa, Mollusca, Cephalopoda, Sepiida, Sepiidae.